Molecule: ribosomal RNA, 1384 nt
Filed under: Paleoplatyura johnsoni
Lineage: Eukaryota; Metazoa; Arthropoda; Insecta; Diptera; Keroplatidae
Description: partial 28S ribosomal RNA
Rfam family: Eukaryotic large subunit ribosomal RNA
Source: RNAcentral
AUUGAAUACUAUGCACUUUUCUCAUAGUAAGACAUUGCGAUCCAUUAGUAUACAAUUAUGUUUAAAGUUUAUCAAACGGCCCACUUUGUUUAGUUUAUUCUAUCUGUAGCAAUAUUCAUUUAUUGUUAUAUGAAUAAUAGCAAAAAAUUUGGUGUCCCGAUCAACAGCUGAUGGAGCUUAACAAUCGUGCAGUCCAUGUUUCCAUUAUGUAUCAUUGUUUAUAUAAAUUUUUUAUAUAGAUGUUGUGAUGGCAUGUGUUUGAUUAGCAAUGCGAUAGAUUUGGGAUACCUUCGGGACCCGUCUUGAAACACGGACCAAGAAGUCUAACAUGUGUGCAAGUCAUUGGGUAUAUGUUUAUUGUUGAAACCUAAAGGCGUAAUUAAAAUAACUAUAUAUAUAUAUAUAUAUAUAUAUAUAUAUAUAUAUAUAUAUAUAUAAAUGGGAUUACAAGCAAUAGUAAUAAUAUUGUUUCUCCAUCCCGGGGCGUUCUAUACGAACAUGAUUUAAGCAAUUGAGUCCUCUGUUCAAGAGCGUACCUUGAGCAUACAUGCUGUGACCCGAAAGAUGGUGAACUAUACCUGAUCAGGUUGAAGUCAGGGGAAACCCUGAUGGAGGACUGAAGCAGUUCUGACGUGCAAAUCGAUUGUCAGAAUUGGGUAUAGGGGCGAAAGACCAAUCGAACCAUCUAGUAGCUGGUUCCCUCCGAAGUUUCCCUCAGGAUAGCUGGUGCAAUAAAGAUUCUAAUAUAUAAUCUUAUCUGGUAAAGCGAAUGAUUAGAGGCCUUGGGGCCGAAACGACCUCAACCUAUUCUCAAACUUUAAAUGGGUAAGAACCACAUCUUUCUUGAUCUGAAGAUGCAGUGGUUUAGAUAUAUUGUGCCCAGUGGGCCACUUUUGGUAAGCAGAACUGGCGCUGUGGGAUGAACCAAACGUGAUGUUACGGCGCCUAAAUUAAUGACUCAUAUUGAUACCAUGAAAGGCGUUGGUUGCUUAAAACAGCAGGACGGUGGACAUGGAAGUCGUAAUCCGCUAAGGAGUGUGUAACAACUCACCUGCCGAAGCAACUAGCCCUUAAAAUGGAUGGCGCUCAAGUCAUAUGCCUAUACAUCACCGCUAGAAUAAAUAAUUGAAAAAUAAUAAAUAGAAUUUUUUUUUUGUUUUUAUUUUCAUUGUAAAAUUCUAGUGAGUAGGAGGGUACAAUGGUGUGCGCAGAAGUGUUUGGCGUGAGCCUGCAUGGAGCCGCCAUUGGUACAGAUCUUGGUGGUAGUAGCAAAUAAUCGAAUGAGAUCUUGGAGGACUGAAGUGGAGAAGGGUUUCGUGUGAACAGUGGUUGAUCACGAGUUAGUCGGUCCUAAGCUCUAUGCGAAAGCUGUUUAAUUUAUAUU